This 253-nucleotide ribosomal RNA is filed under the name uncultured bacterium. Its description in RNAcentral is "partial 16S ribosomal RNA". It matches the Rfam family "Bacterial small subunit ribosomal RNA", at positions 524 to 776 of the family's 1533-position model. The record is from RNAcentral.
UACGGAGGGGGCAAGCGUUAUCCGGAAUUAUUGGGCGUAAAGCGCGCGUAGGCGGUUUUUUAAGUCUGAUAUGAAAGCCCACGGCUCAACCGUGGAGGGUCAUUGGAAACUGGAAGACUUGAGUAUAGAAGAGGAAAGUGGAAUUCCAUGUGUAGCGGUGAAAUGCGUAGAGAUCUGGAGGAACACCAGUGGCGAAGGCGACUUUCUGGUCUGUAACUGACGCUGAGGUGCGAAAGCGUGGGGAUCAAACAGG